AGUGGUGACAGGUGGUGCAUGGUUGUCGUCAGCUCGUGUCGUGAGAUGUUGGGUUAAGUCCCGCAACGAGCGCAACCCUUGUCUUUAGUAGCCAGCAGUUCGGCUGGGCACUCUAGAGAGACUGCCAGGGAUAACCUGGAGGAAGGCGGGGAUGACGUCAAAUCAUCAUGCCCCUUACGAGCAGGGCUACACACGUGCUACAAUGGCGUAAACAAAGGGAAGCGACCCUGCGAGGGUAAGCAAAUCUCAAAAAUAACGUCUCAGUUCGGAUUGUAGUCUGCAACUCGACUACAUGAAGCUGGAAUCGCUAGUAAUCGCGAAUCAGAAUGUCGCGGUGAAUACGUUCCCGGGUCUUGUACACACCGCCCGUCACACCAUGGGAGUCGGAUAUGCCCGAAGUCAGUGACCCAACCAUAUGGAGGGAGCUGCCGAAGGUGGAGCCGAUAACUGGGGUGAAGUCGUAACAAGGUAGCCGUAUCGGAAGGUGCGGUUGGAUCACCUC
This 502-nucleotide ribosomal RNA is filed under the name uncultured bacterium. Its description in RNAcentral is "bacterial SSU rRNA". It matches the Rfam family "Bacterial small subunit ribosomal RNA", at positions 1027 to 1529 of the family's 1533-position model. The record is from RNAcentral.